Molecule: ribosomal RNA, 496 nt
Filed under: uncultured bacterium
Lineage: Bacteria
Description: partial 16S ribosomal RNA
Rfam family: Bacterial small subunit ribosomal RNA
Source: RNAcentral
GAUGAACGCUGGCGGCGUGCCUAAUACAUGCAAGUCGAGCGAACAGACGAGGAGCUUGCUCCUCUGACGUUAGCGGCGGACGGGUGAGUAACACGUGGAUAACCUACCUAUAAGACUGGGAUAACUUCGGGAAACCGGAGCUAAUACCGGAUAAUAUAUUGAACCGCAUGGUUCAAUAGUGAAAGACGGUUUUGCUGUCACUUAUAGAUGGAUCCGCGCCGCAUUAGCUAGUUGGUAAGGUAACGGCUUACCAAGGCAACGAUGCGUAGCCGACCUGAGAGGGUGAUCGGCAAACCGGAACUGAGACCAGGGCCCGAACCCUUAGGGGAGCCAGAGUAGGGAAAUCUCCCGAAUGGGCGGAAGGCUGAACGAGCAAACGCGCGGUGGGUAAUGAGGGUCUCGGAUCGUAAAACUCUGUUAUUAGGGAAGAACAAAUGUGUAAGUAACUAUGCACGUCUUGACGGUACCUAAUCAGAAAGCCACGGCUAACUACGUG